This 1200-nucleotide ribosomal RNA is filed under the name Triticum aestivum (bread wheat). RNAcentral describes it as "partial small subunit ribosomal RNA". Lineage: Eukaryota; Viridiplantae; Streptophyta; Magnoliopsida; Poales; Poaceae. The record is from RNAcentral.
AUGAAUAGCAAGCUCACGGUUAGCGUUACAGAUGAGGAAGUUGAAGUUGCGCUUUUUCAGAUGGGACCGACGAAGGCCCCGGGGCCAGAUGGCCUGCCGGCGUUAUUUUAUCAGCGGCACUGGCCGUUGGUGAAAGGAGAUGUGUGUCGUGCGGUCCAAGAUUUUCUAAGGGGUGUAGCAGCCCCGGAUUCGUUUAACGCGACUAUGAUAGUGAUGAUUCCGAAGGUCAAUUCACCGGAGUUGCUUUCACAGUUUCGCCCCAUCAGUUUGUGUAACGUCCUAUAUAAACUGGCUGCCAAGGUACUUGCUAAUAGGCUAAAGGUUUUCCUUCCGGUUCUAAUCUCAGAGGAACAAAGUGCGUUUGUACCCGGACGGAUUAUUACGGAUAAUGUGAUAGUAGCCUCUGAGUGUGUGCAUGCAAUAAGAACCAGGAAACAGAAAAAACCUUUAUGUGCAGUAAAGUUGGAUAUGACAAAGGCUUACGAUAGAGUUGAAUGGAUGUUUCUGGAACAAAUGCUGGCUAAAUAUGGUUUUGCGGAAGGGUGGAUCAGGAUGGUGAUGAGAUGUGUGACUUCUGCACGUUUUACUAUGAAGCUAAAUGGAGGACUCUCUAGGGGUUUCGUGCCAUCACGGGGGCUCAGGCAGGGGGAUCCACUCUCCCCAUACUUAUUUCUAUUCUGUGUUGAGGGUUUCUCAGCGAUGUUGAAGAAGGCACAAGCAGAGGGCAGCAUCAAGGGUGUAGGAUUUGGGAGCACUGGCCCCCAAGUCACUCACCUCCUAUUUGCAAAUGACAGCAUUGUGUUCUUACAAGGUACGCCGGAAAAUGUCCAUGUGCUUAAGAACAUCUUGGUUAGGUACGAAGCUGCUUCGGGUCAAAAAAUAAACCUCCAAAAAUUGUCAAUAUUCUUCGGGAAAGGUUGUGGACAGCAACAAAAAGAUGUUCUCAAGCAAGUGGUUGGCAUUGAACAAGAAGCUCUUAGUGAGAGAUACUUGGGCCUGCCAACGGUAGUGGGGAGAUCCAAGAUGGCACUUUUGUAUGUGACGGAAUGCUCAAAAGGAAAAGUAACGGGUUGGAAGGGACAAGGGUUGUCCAAGAAGGCUAGGGAAGUACUGAUUAAAUAUGUUUUGCAAGCCACACCUACUCUCACAAUGUGUUGUUUUCACCUCUCGAAGAAGAUGUGCCGGAACCUGUCUUCAAUC